ACGACCACCCAGAGCCGGAAAGUUGGUCAAACUCGGUCAUUUAGAGGAAGUAAAAGUCGUAACAAGGUUUCCGUAGGUGAACCUGCGGAAGGAUCAUUACCGAGUGCGGGAACCCAGUCGGGUCCCAAUCUCCCACCCGUGUCUACCACACCUAGUGUUGCUUUGGCGGGCCCACUNNUCCGGUGUUCCGCCGGGGGGGUCGUCCCGGGGCGCGGUGUGCCCCCGGGGCCCGUGCCCGCCAGAGGCACUCACUGUGAACGCUUUUGUGAAUGCGAGGAUUGUCUGAGUGACGAAAUGCAAUCGUUCAAAACUUUCAACAAUGGAUCUCUUGGUUCCGGCAUCGAUGAAGAACGCAGCGAAAUGCGAUAAGUAAUGUGAAUUGCAGAAUUCCGUGAAUCAUCGAAUCUUUGAACGCACAUUGCGCCCUCUGGUAUUCCGGGGGGCAUGCCUGUCCGAGCGUCAUUGCGAACCCUCAAGCACGGCUUGUGUGUUGGGCCGCCGUCCCCUCGUUUGGAGGGGACGGGCCUGAAAGGCAGCGGCGGCGUCGCGUCCGGUCCUCGAGCGUAUGGGGCUCUGUCACGCGCUCAAGGAGGGGUCCGGCCGGGGCCAUAGCCUCUGAAGGUCAAUUCUUCCAAGGUUGACCUCGGAUCAGGUAGGAGUACCCGCUGAACUUAAGCAUAUCAAUAAGCGGAGGAAAAGAAACCAACAGGGAUUGCCCCAGUAACGGCGAGUGAAGCGGCAAGAGCUCAAAUUUGAAAUCUGGCUCCUUCGGGAGUCCGANNUGUAAUUUGGNNNGGAUGCUUCGGGUAUGGCCCCCGUCUAAGUGCCCUGGAAC
This 835-nucleotide ribosomal RNA is filed under the name Thermomyces lanuginosus. Its description in RNAcentral is "eukaryotic LSU rRNA". The stretch from base 309 to 462 matches the Rfam family "5.8S ribosomal RNA". Lineage: Eukaryota; Fungi; Ascomycota; Eurotiomycetes; Eurotiales; Trichocomaceae. The record is from RNAcentral.